UGGGGAAUAUUGGACAAUGGGCGAAAGCCUGAUCCAGCAAUACCGCGUGUGUGAAGAAGGCCCUAGGGUUGUAAAGCACUUUUGUUAGGGAGAACGGGUUUUGUAGCUAAUACCUACAGAAUCUGAUGUUACCUAAAGAAUAAGCACCGGCUAACUCCGUGCCAGCAGCCGCGGUAAUACGGAGGGUGCAAGCGUUAAUCGGAAUUACUGGGCGUAAAGGGCGCGUAGGUGGUAUCUUAAGUUGGGUGUGAAAUCCCCGGGCUCAACCUGGGAAUUGCAUCCAAAACUGGGGUGCUAGAGUGUGGUAGAGGGUAGCGGAAUUUCUGGUGUAGCGGUGAAAUGCGUAGAUAUCAGAAGGAACAUCAAUGGCGAAGGCAGCUACCUGGGCCAACACUGACGC
This 400-nucleotide ribosomal RNA is filed under the name uncultured bacterium. Its description in RNAcentral is "bacterial SSU rRNA". It matches the Rfam family "Bacterial small subunit ribosomal RNA", at positions 355 to 746 of the family's 1533-position model. The record is from RNAcentral.